AGAGUUUGAUCAUGGCUCAGAUUGAACGCUGGCGGCAGGCCUAACACAUGCAAGUCGAACGGUAACAGGAAGCAGCUUGCUGCUUUGCUGACGAGUGGCGGACGGGUGAGUAAUGUCUGGGAAACUGCCUGAUGGAGGGGGAUAACUACUGGAAACGGUGGCUAAUACCGCAUAACGUCGCAAGACCAAAGAGGGGGACCUUCGGGCCUCUUGCCAUCAGAUGUGCCCAGAUGGGAUUAGCUUGUUGGUGAGGUAACGGCUCACCAAGGCGACGAUCCCUAGCUGGUCUGAGAGGAUGACCAGCCACACUGGAACUGAGACACGGUCCAGACUCCUACGGGAGGCAGCAGUGGGGAAUAUUGCACAAUGGGCGCAAGCCUGAUGCAGCCAUGCCGCGUGUAUGAAGAAGGCCUUCGGGUUGUAAAGUACUUUCAGCGGGGAGGAAGGUGUUGUGGUUAAUAACCGCAGCAAUUGACGUUACCCGCAGAAGAAGCACCGGCUAACUCCGUGCCAGCAGCCGCGGUAAUACGGAGGGUGCAAGCGUUAAUCGGAAUUACUGGGCGUAAAGCGCACGCAGGCGGUCUGUCAAGUCGGAUGUGAAAUCCCCGGGCUCAACCUGGGAACUGCAUUCGAAACUGGCAGGCUUGAGUCUUGUAGAGGGGGGUAGAAUUCCAGGUGUAGCGGUGAAAUGCGUAGAGAUCUGGAGGAAUACCGGUGGCGAAGGCGGCCCCCUGGACAAAGACUGACGCUCAGGUGCGAAAGCGUGGGGAGCAAACAGGAUUAGAUACCCUGGUAGUCCACGCCGUAAACGAUGUCUACUUGGAGGUUGUGCCCUUGAGGCGUGGCUUCCGGAGCUAACGCGUUAAGUAGACCGCCUGGGGAGUACGGCCGCAAGGUUAAAACUCAAAUGAAUUGACGGGGGCCCGCACAAGCGGUGGAGCAUGUGGUUUAAUUCGAUGCAACGCGAAGAACCUUACCUGGUCUUGACAUCCACGGAACUUUCCAGAGAUGGAUUGUGCCUUCGGGAACCGUGAGACAGGUGCUGCAUGGCUGUCGUCAGCUCGUGUUGUGAAAUGUUGGGUUAAGUCCCGCAACGAGCGCAACCCUUAUCCUUUGUUGCCAGCGGUCCGGCCGGGAACUCAAAGGAGACUGCCAGUGAUAAACUGGAGGAAGGUGGGGAUGACGUCAAGUCAUCAUGGCCCUUACGACCAGGGCUACACACGUGCUACAAUGGCGCAUACAAAGAGAAGCGACCUCGCGAGAGCAAGCGGACCUCAUAAAGUGCGUCGUAGUCCGGAUUGGAGUCUGCAACUCGACUCCAUGAAGUCGGAAUCGCUAGUAAUCGUGGAUCAGAAUGCCACGGUGAAUACGUUCCCGGGCCUUGUACACACCGCCCGUCACACCAUGGGAGUGGGUUGCAAAAGAAGUAGGUAGCUUAACCUUCGGGAGGGCGCUUACCACUUUGUGAUUCAUGACUGGGGUGAAGUCGUAACAAGGUAACCGUAGGGGAACCUGCGGUUG
Molecule: ribosomal RNA, 1521 nt
Filed under: Salmonella enterica
Lineage: Bacteria; Pseudomonadati; Pseudomonadota; Gammaproteobacteria; Enterobacterales; Enterobacteriaceae
Description: bacterial SSU rRNA
Rfam family: Bacterial small subunit ribosomal RNA
Source: RNAcentral